This 1477-nucleotide ribosomal RNA is filed under the name Dolosicoccus paucivorans. RNAcentral's name for it is "bacterial LSU rRNA". It matches the Rfam family "Bacterial large subunit ribosomal RNA", at positions 595 to 2083 of the family's 2925-position model. Lineage: Bacteria; Bacillati; Bacillota; Bacilli; Lactobacillales; Aerococcaceae. The record is from RNAcentral.
GAUGGCGUACCUUUUGCAGAAUGGACCGGCGAGUUACGAUAGUUGGCGAGGUUAAGUUGAAGAAACGGAGCCGUAGCGAAAGCGAGUCUUCAUAGGGCGAAAGUCAGGUGUCGUAGACCCGAAACCAGGUGAGCUACCCAUGUGCAGGUUGAAGGUGCGGUAAGACGCACUGGAGGACCGAACCCAAAUACGUUGAAAAGUGUUGGGAUGACGUGUGGGUAGGGGUGAAAUUCCAAUCGAACCUGGAGAUAGCUGGUUCUCUCCGAAAUAGCUUUAGGGCUAGCCUCAAUGUAAGAAUCGUGGGGGUAGAGCACUAUUAGGAUGCGGGGGGCUCACGCCCUACCAAUUCCUGAUAAACUCCGAAUACCAUUGAUUCAUCAUUGGGAGUCAGACUGCGAGUGCUAAGAUCCGUAGUCGAAAGGGAAACAGCCCAGACCACCAGCUAAGGUCCCCAAGUUACUGUUAAGUGGGAAAGGAUGUGGAGUUGCACAGACAACUAGGAUGUUGGCUUAGAAGCAGCCACCAUUGAAAGAGUGCGUAAUAGCUCACUAGUCGAGUGACUCUGCGCCGAAAAUGUACCGGGGCUAAACAGUACACCGAAGCUGUGGAUUCUAACAAUUGUUAGAGUGGUAGGAGAGCGUUCUAUGGGCAUUGAAGCUGUACCGUAAGGAGCAGUGGAGCGCAUAGAAGUGAGAAUGCCGGUAUGAGUAGCGCAAGACGGGUGAGAAUCCCGUCCACCGAUUGACUAAGGUUUCCUGGGGAAGGCUCGUCCGCCCAGGGUUAGUCGGGACCUAAGUUGAAGCCGACAGGUUUAGACGAUGGCUAACAGGUAGAGAUUCCUGUACUCGGUAUACACGUUUGAGCGAAGGAGGGACACAGGAGGUAGUGUCACGCAUCCUGUUGGAUAUGGAUGUAGAAGCGUCAAGCCUAAGAAAGAGUCAAAUGCUUUUUCUUAUUAAAGGUAAGACGUGACCUGGAGUGAAUUAAAGUAGCGAAGGUGACGAAUCAUACUGUCAAGAAAAGCUUCUAGUGAGUGUAUACGGACCCGUACCGCAAACCGACACAGGUAGUCAGGUAGAGAAUACCAAGGUGAGCGAGAGAACUCUCGUUAAGGAACUCGGCAAAAUGACCCCGUAACUUCGGGAGAAGGGGUGCUGACUUUAAGUCAGCCGCAGUGAAUAGGCCCAGGCGACUGUUUAUCAAAAACACAGGUCUCUGCUAAAUCGAAAGAUGAUGUAUAGGGGCUGACGCCUGCCCGGUGCUGGAAGGUUAAGUGGAGUGCUUAGCGUUAAGCGAAGGUACGAAAUGAAGCCCCAGUAAACGGCGGCCGUAACUAUAACGGUCCUAAGGUAGCGAAAUUCCUUGUCGGGUAAGUUCCGACCCGCACGAAAGGCGUAACGAUCUGGGCACUGUCUCAACGAGAGACUCGGUGAAAUUAUAUUACCUGUGAAGAUGCAGGUUACCCGCGACAGGACGG